UGCCCAGACUCCUACGGGAGGCAGCAGUGGGGGAUAUUGCACAAUGGGGGGAACCCUGAUGCAGCGACGCCGCGUGGGUGAAGGAGUGCUUCGGCAUGUAAAGCCCUAUCGGCAGGGAAGAAGCAAGACGGUACCUGACUAAGAAGCCCCGGCUAACUACGUGCCAGCAGCCGCGGUAAUACGGAGGGGGCAAGCGUUAUCCGGAUUCACCGGGUGUAAAGGGAGCGUAGACGGCCAUGCAAGCCUGGAGUGAAAGCCCGGGGCCCAACCCCGGGACUGCUCUGGGAACUGUGCGGCUGGAGUGCGGGAGGGGCAGGCGGAAUUCCUGGUGUAGCGGUGAAAUGCGUAGAUAUCAGGAGGAACACCGGCGGCGAAGGCGGCCUGCUGGACCGCGACUGACGUUGAGGCUCGAAAGCGUGGGGAGCAAACAGGAUUAGAUACCCCAGUA
RNAcentral lists this ribosomal RNA (448 nucleotides) under uncultured bacterium. RNAcentral describes it as "bacterial SSU rRNA". It matches the Rfam family "Bacterial small subunit ribosomal RNA", at positions 328 to 792 of the family's 1533-position model. The record is from RNAcentral.